This 353-nucleotide ribosomal RNA is filed under the name uncultured bacterium. RNAcentral describes it as "bacterial SSU rRNA". It matches the Rfam family "Bacterial small subunit ribosomal RNA", at positions 8 to 350 of the family's 1533-position model. The record is from RNAcentral.
AGAGUUUGAUCCUGGCUCAGGAUGAACGCUAGCUACAGGCUUAACACAUGCAAGUCGAGGGGAAACGACAUCGAAAGCUUGCUUUUGAUGGGCGUCGACCGGCGCACGGGUGAGUAACACGUAUCCAACCUGCCCACCACUUGGGGAUAACCUUGCGAAAGUAAGACUAAUACCCAAUGACGUCUCUAGAAGACAUCUGGAGGAGAUUAAAGAUUUAUCGGUGAUGGAUGGGGAUGCGUCUGAUUAGCUUGUUGGCGGGGUAACGGCCACCAAGGCGACGAUCAGUAGGGGUUCUGAGAGGAAGGUCCCCCANAUUGGAACUGAGACACGGUCCAAACUCCGUACGGGAGGCA